AUUGAACGCUGGCGGCAUGCCUUACACAUGCAAGUCGAACGGUAACGCGGGGCAACCUGGCGACGAGUGGCGAACGGGUGAGUAAUGCAUCGGAACGUGCCCAGAAGUGGGGGAUAGCCCGGCGAAAGCCGGAUGAAUACCGCAUGAGACCUGAGGGUGAAAGCGGGGGCUCGCAAGACCUCGCGCUUUUGGAGCGGCCGAUGUCAGAUUAGCUAGGUGGUGGGGUAAAGGACUACCAAGGCGACGAUCUGUAGCUGGUCUGAGAGGACGACCAGCCACACUGGGACUGAGACACGGCCCAGACUCCUACGGGGGGCAGCAGUGGGGAAUUUUGGACGAUGGGCGCAAGCCUGAUCCAGCCAUGCCGCGUGCGGGAAGAAGGCCUUCGGGUUGUAAACCGCUUUUGUCAGGGAAGAAACGCUCUGGGCUAAUACCCUGGGGUAAUGACGGUACCUGAAGAAUAAGCACCGGCUAACUACGUGCCAGCCGCCGCCGUAA
RNAcentral lists this ribosomal RNA (498 nucleotides) under uncultured bacterium. RNAcentral describes it as "partial 16S ribosomal RNA". It matches the Rfam family "Bacterial small subunit ribosomal RNA", at positions 29 to 523 of the family's 1533-position model. The record is from RNAcentral.